RNAcentral lists this unclassified non-coding RNA (1304 nucleotides) under Hevea brasiliensis (rubber tree). The stretch from base 32 to 125 matches the Rfam family "Small nucleolar RNA snoR27". The record is from RNAcentral. Lineage: Eukaryota; Viridiplantae; Streptophyta; Magnoliopsida; Malpighiales; Euphorbiaceae.
GGAAUUUUCGUUGGGCUCAUUGUACAAUGUGAUUGGAUUAACGAUGCUAAUUAGAAACUGCAUUAUCUAUCUGCAACUUCCUUAUUGGAAUUGAAGAUAUCUGUUAACGAAGUCUGAGAUUCUGUCACUUUAAAAUGUCCCUAUUAGAGUUACAGGCGAUUUCACUGGGUGUUGUUACCUAUUAUGCAUCUUUAUGAGAUUUGGUUUGCUAGUUUGAUGAAGAUCUUUAUGAGAUUUGGUUUGCUAGUUUGAUGAAGCAUUACCCAUGUAUUACUACUAUCUUACAGGUUUAAUGAAUGCAGCUAAAGCCCAUACCAUUUCCAGUGGCAUUCAACCUAGAACUCAAUAAUGCACCCAGUUAUUUUCACACAGUUGAGCAUUUCAUUUUACUAGUCGAGCAUAUUGAAUGGUUUGGUAGCGUUCAUUCUUUUUUAAUUUUAUUUUUUUUAAUCAAUCUGUGUGGGAGACUGGGAGUGCUAUAGAAUUUGUGUUAUAUGCUUGAAUCAUAUAAACAUAUGUUUGACUUGUUGCAUAUUGCAUAUACUUGUGUGAUUUGAAAGUUCCUGAUGAAAAAUUCUGUGGGAAAAGAACUAAACUGCUGCUUGCAAUUCCAAUAAAAUUUGAGUGAAAUGAUGUCCAUGGCUGCAUGGUGGAUUCCGGAAAGGCAUGCAAGGUCAAGGUUAUUGUGUAGUAAGCAUCAAGUGGAUGGGAUGUGAUUGGAACACACAACUUCAAUUGGGAUGAAAAUAUUUAUUCAGACUAUGAACUUUCAGCCAACCAAUAUUGGUUGGUCUACCCCAAGUCCUCAAGAUUUGUAAUUCCAUUUUUCCUGCUUUUGGGUUUUCUCUUCUAAAAUUAGUCCCAAUCCAAAUAUCAGCAUCAUCUCUCCAUCCUUUUAUCACCUAUAUUCAUAAACCAUUAGUGGAUUAUGAUUUGGAUUGUUAAUCGUAUAUGGUUUGCUUGAAGAUGAUGGUUUUUGACCUCUGUACAUAUAUUAGAAGGUCGAAUGCCUCAUUUAUUUUCAGAUCCAAUCAUUGGGAAGCAAAUUGAACUGCUCCCUUGGGUGUAUAUACACCCAACUAAUAGAAAACUACUCCCACCAAGAACCACGUAUGAAGUGUGAAAACUCCAUGUAUAGUGCACCUGUUUCUCAUAGAGAAUAUGAGACCAUGGAUAAAUCAAGUCCAUAAAUACAUCCUCAAAUUUCCAUCACUCAUACAAAACGAACUUGCGACUUCUCUAAAGAGCCUCCUUAGUCUAAUAAUCGACGGAGGAAAUUCUUCAUGAAGUUCAUCCCUUUGUAU